Molecule: non-coding RNA, 456 nt
Organism: Lepisosteus oculatus (spotted gar)
Lineage: Eukaryota; Metazoa; Chordata; Actinopteri; Semionotiformes; Lepisosteidae
Source: RefSeq, a predicted model, not a curated record
AGAGCGCUCAGAUGCACAGGGUGCCUGCUAUAGUUCUGGCGGCGGACCAGGAAUGCACUGUGGUUAGCUACAUUCCUUCACUUCUGGCAAUGGGCUUUUGCAGCCACACAUUCUUGAAUCCAGUGAGCUACCGUGAAUACAAGGAAGAAGCAAAUUAUCCACCCAGAAGGAAGGAGACAGGAGGGGGAGUGGGGCUGGAGUACUGAACACAGUUUCUUACUGGACUUGAAGAAAACUCCUGCAUUCACCGAGUCUGAAGUGUGUUUUUAGAAGAAUACAAGUAUGGCAGACAGUGCUGGCUUGACUGGGGAUGUGGGAGAAGGAUGCUCCUGUUUCUCAAUUGUGAGCUUCACAAGCUCCUGCAGAAAUGUAUGUCAGCAUUUGAGACAUCGUGUCAGAAAGAGGCUAAACCCACCUUCACUCCGUCCAGCACUGCCUUUAUAACCCCGGUUACCG